This 560-nucleotide ribosomal RNA is filed under the name Staphylococcus aureus. Its description in RNAcentral is "partial 23S ribosomal RNA". It matches the Rfam family "Bacterial large subunit ribosomal RNA", at positions 12 to 566 of the family's 2925-position model. The record is from RNAcentral. Lineage: Bacteria; Bacillati; Bacillota; Bacilli; Caryophanales; Staphylococcaceae.
UAAGGGCGCACGGUGGAUGCCUUGGCACUAGAAGCCGAUGAAGGACGUUACUAACGACGAUAUGCUUUGGGGAGCUGUAAGUAAGCUUUGAUCCAGAGAUUUCCGAAUGGGGAAACCCAGCAUGAGUUAUGUCAUGUUAUCGAUAUGUGAAUACAUAGCAUAUCAGAAGGCACACCCGGAGAACUGAAACAUCUUAGUACCCGGAGGAAGAGAAAGAAAAUUCGAUUCCCUUAGUAGCGGCGAGCGAAACGGGAAGAGCCCAAACCAACAAGCUUGCUUGUUGGGGUUGUAGGACACUCUAUACGGAGUUACAAAGGACGACAUUAGACGAAUCAUCUGGAAAGAUGAAUCAAAGAAGGUAAUAAUCCUGUAGUCGAAAAUGUUGUCUCUCUUGAGUGGAUCCUGAGUACGACGGAGCACGUGAAAUUCCGUCGGAAUCUGGGAGGACCAUCUCCUAAGGCUAAAUACUCUCUAGUGACCGAUAGUGAACCAGUACCGUGAGGGAAAGGUGAAAAGCACCCCGGAAGGGGAGUGAAAUAGAACCUGAAACCGUGUGCUUA